CUUCUUCUUGUAUGGCAUUCUCACAGGCUUAACAAGAUCCUCCAAGCUCUUUGCAUCAGAUAAAGAAGUGAAUGACUGUGCCUUCCCUUGAAGUAGCAUCAUCCAAAAAGUCUGCAGAUGAAGAGGAAGAAGAAUCACUUGCAGAGAAGGAUGAUGACAAAGAACCAAUAGAAGACUCCAUUAAACCAUCCAUUGCUGACUGUAUGAUCCCUCAACCCUUCUUAAAUACUAAUCCUUGUAGUCUUUUACAGCUUGGCGGAUUACACAAGACAAGAUAAGGUGAGAGAGUACUUGGCAUGUAUUUAUAUAUAUAUUAAGUACAUAAUUAUGGGAAGAAAAUCACUGAUUGAUUUAAUUACA
Molecule: long non-coding RNA, 360 nt
Organism: Dioscorea cayenensis subsp. rotundata (Guinea yam)
Lineage: Eukaryota; Viridiplantae; Streptophyta; Magnoliopsida; Dioscoreales; Dioscoreaceae
Exons: 2
Source: RefSeq, a predicted model, not a curated record